CUUGAACACUAAGCAGAAGGCUGGGACUGAGGGAGGCAGAGAAGAAGGGAAGACAGGCUGGAGAAGAGGCAGGGAGAGGGACAGCGGAGGCUGGGGUAGGAGCUCCAACACUGAGGGGAAAAGGAGGGUGACAGGUUAGAGAAGACUGGAGGGAGAAAGUUGGAAGGCGGGAACUCUAAAUAAGGUGAGAGAGAUGGAGGCUGAGAAGAGGCCCUGAAGAAGAUCCUACAGCAAAGUGAGGAAUUCUUGGCUAAAGGGAGGGAACUAGAUGGAGAGAAGGAACCCAGGUAGGGAAGAUAAGACAAGGUGAAAGUGACUGAAAUGCAGGAUGUGGAGGAGAAGAUUUAACAGAGGUUGGCAGGAGUUGAACCAGACAGAAAUAGUAGUGGCCGAACUCAGCAGAAUUGACAUAGCUGUUAGAGAGCGUUUGAGCUGGAGGAGAGGAUGGGAUGUAUGACUUGGGCAGGAGAAAGAAAGGACAGAUAUGAGCUAAGAUCACCCCAGACAGAAACAGACAGGACAAAACACAGAGCAAUUCAGUUUUACAAUGUUUCUUCCUUUUCCUGCUUCGGAUGUAAUGCUAGUUUGGACAGCAGCUGACAUCCAAUCAGACAACAGGACCACUGCCCUUGUCAUAACGAGAACCAUGACAUCACAGAAAGGGCGAGCGGAGAGAAGACAGCGGAGCUCCAGAGAAGGGAGCGGGGCUGCGCGGGGCCGCACGCCGACCGAAGCGCACCGGCUGCCGGGUGGACGGCGCUCGGACUACCGGGGGGCCACGGAGGGGCGGCCGGGUGCGCGGGACGGGGGCCGGCGGCCGGAGCUCCGUCCCGGACUGAGGGAGGGCAGGAUGCUUCGCCGGCUGAUGGGGAAUAAAGGAAGAUAUUGAAGGAGGAUGAACGAAAAUUGCAUCCUGUGUGUCAUUUUUUGCCAAACAAGACGAGAGGAAGACAACUCCCAAACUGGCAUGAUGUAACAAAAGGGUGAAGAUGCAGUCAAGAAACCCAGACAAUGCCUCACAACCGGAUGGAGACUGGGAACUGGUGUUGCUGGUGGUGCAGCAUGAGUCCAGCAGAAGACAGGAAGAAGAUGCCUUCACAUCACACUCACACACGUGCACACACACGAAACGUAAUCUGGAGUCUAAUGCCAGGACUGAAAACCAUUUCCAGGUGAAGAGAACUGGAUUAAAGUGAAUCAAGGUGAACAGAAACGACAUCAGGAGAUGUGAAAAGGGGGCGUCAUCUGGGCAGCUCUUUGAAAAAAGAUCUAAGAAAAACCUGGAACCAAACCUGUUGAUUUUCUGGAUCUGUUUUGCUGUACCUAAGUAUUGUUCUGCUUUGGUUUGUUAAGUGUUUAUAUUACAUUCCACUCUUUGACCUUUUAUUAAACCUCUGUAUUUCACCUCACUCUUGUGUGCAUUUUCCUAUGUUAUAUUUAUUCAUUUAAAGAUUUGAUAUCUCCUAUGUCAACAUCCACAUUGAUGAUGUAUUUCAGAAUGUCUGUAUACCUUACUGAGACAUCGCUGUGGAAUAAAAUGGCUCUAAAAGCACAAAUGUCAAGCUGUUUUGAUCUUUAUGAUUUUAUUUGUUCCUAGGUGCUAAGAUGGACACAAUAUUUGUCCCAGUUAAAUAUUUGUGGAGGUCUUUUUUUCUUCUUCCCUGUUUCAAACUUAGAUUAUGAGUAUAGAAUAACUCCUGGUCUGUGAGCAUUUCCUUAGAUGUUUUGUCAUAUUGAAAACUGGUAGAACGUUUUCUGCGUCUUUUCAUAAUCUCUUCAAAAGUAAAUUGCUAUCAAGGAUGCUGGAGACGUAUCUUAACCUCAGUUUUUUUGUUGUUGUUUAAAUCAUGGAUCAACAGUCUUUUCAUGUGGGAAUCUAUUUACGUCUCAGUUCACUUUAUAUAUCUAUUUUUUUGCAUCAUUAAAAAAAGAAGCGUGACCUUUAAAUCCUAGUCGACUACAUGACAGGUCUCCGUCUUGUCACAAUUCAGUAUUUGUGAACUUGUUAGGAAGAUUGAAUGGCGUAUUUAUUUACUCACCUUUCAGAAUUUUCAGGAGGUUUUAGAUCAGUUUUUGUAAAACUGACAAAUUAGCAAGAUUUGAGAUUUCUUUUAUUUUUUUGGUCAAGACUUUUGAACUGAGCCGAAUCCCGUCAGUCUCACGGACACAAAUGUGAGAAAUUGACAUUUUGAUGUACUUGCUUUCAGAACUUUUUGAGUUUCUCAUCAGAUUUUCAAAACCAAUAUUUAGUCACCACUGUUCCGGAUACUUCAAUUGAUGAAAAAUCUGAUACAUGUUUAAUAAAAUUA
Long non-coding RNA from Cololabis saira (Pacific saury), 2309 nucleotides. RefSeq lists it as uncharacterized. The record is from RefSeq and is a predicted model, not a curated record. The transcript is spliced from 4 exons. NCBI's taxonomy places the organism in Eukaryota, Metazoa, Chordata, Actinopteri, Beloniformes, Belonidae.